RNAcentral lists this ribosomal RNA (403 nucleotides) under uncultured bacterium. RNAcentral describes it as "bacterial SSU rRNA". It matches the Rfam family "Bacterial small subunit ribosomal RNA", at positions 355 to 774 of the family's 1533-position model. The record is from RNAcentral.
UAGGGAAUAUUGCAAAAUGGGCGAAAGCCCGAUGCAGCAACGCCGCGUGGGCGAUGAAGGCCUUCGGGUCGUAAAGCCCUUUUUGAGGGGAUGAGGAAGGACAGUACCCUCAGAAUAAGCCUCGGCUAACUACGUGCCAGCAGCCGCGGUAAAACGUAGGAGGCGAGCGUUAUCCGGAUUUACUGGGCGUAAAGCGCGUGCAGGCGGAUUGGAGAGUUGGAUGUGAAAGCUCCCGGCUUAACUGGGAGAGGUCGUUCAAUACUUCCAGUCUUGAGUGAAGUAGAGGGAAGUGGAAUUCCGGGUGUAGUGGUGAAAUGCGUAGAUAUCCGGAGGAACACCAGUGGCGAAAGCGGCUUCCUGGACUGUAACUGACGCUCAGACGCGAAAGCUAGGGUAGCAAACG